Molecule: ribosomal RNA, 468 nt
Filed under: uncultured bacterium
Lineage: Bacteria
Description: partial 16S ribosomal RNA
Rfam family: Bacterial small subunit ribosomal RNA
Source: RNAcentral
GACGAACGCUGGCGGCGUGCUUAACACAUGCAAGUCGAACGGAAAGGCCCUGCUUUUGUGGGGUGCUCGAGUGGCGAACGGGUGAGUAACACGUGAGUAACCUGCCCUUGACUUUGGGAUAACUUCAGGAAACUGGGGCUAAUACCGGAUAGGAGCUCCUGCUGCAUGGUGGGGGUUGGAAAGUUUCGGCGGUUGGGGAUGGACUCGCGGCUUAUCAGCUUGUUGGUGGGGUAGUGGCUUACCAAGGCUUUGACGGGUAGCCGGCCUGAGAGGGUGACCGGCCACAUUGGGACUGAGAUACGGCCCAGACUCCUACGGGAGGCAGCAGUGGGGAAUAUUGCACAAUGGGCGGAAGCCUGAUGCAGCAACGCCGCGUGCGGGAUGACGGCCUUCGGGUUGUAAACCGCUUUCGCCUGUGACGAAGCGUGAGUGACGGUAAUGGGUAAAGAAGCACCGGCUAACUCCGUG